GAACUGACUGAUGGUCGUGCUAAAAUCCAGAUGGCAGCAGAACAACUGAAUGAUAAGGACGUUAUCUCAAGGAUCAACAUGUGCACCAACACAUUUAAGUAUCAUCAAAACCCGAAAGCCUGUUAUUCCUCCUACAUUCUGAAGUCGAAGAGAUCGGAAAAAACUAAUAGUGAGCCAGAACCACCUGUGGAUAUGGAAGAGGGAGAAACAGGUGAUAGUUAUAAGGCUCCAAAAAGGCGGAAGAAGAGUAUGUCUAGCGGCAUGGGCACAGAACGGAACUGUGCCUACAAUACUGCUGAGACCCCAGCCAGCACAAGCCAGCACGCCGACUCAAACACGUCCACCGGUGCAGAGUCCUCCACCAAAGAGACGACGAAAUGCAUUCGCCAAAGGGGAGAGAGCGAAGAGGUAUUGAAACAUUGGUGAAUGAAGCCACAGACAGAACUGAGGAUACCUGUAUGAUCAGCGACAUCCACACUGGGGAGGAAGCUGUGUGUACACCAACAUGUCAGAAAGAAAUUGCUGUGCAGACGGAUCCCCCUCCACGGACACACCACAAGUCCAUGCAGGCGCUACGUGUCAGGUCAGCUAGACUGCAAGUUCCAAUCCAUGUUGGUUGUUCCAAAGGAUCUCCGCCAAAUCCAGGAUCACCGUCACUAUCAUCCGCAUGUUCCAGUCUGUGUCUCCAUCCACGACACCGGCAUCUUCUUCAAUUAACUCCUCUUCUUGAAGGUGCAACGAGUCUAUUGACGACUCACUGUCACUCGAUUCUGUGGAAAUAGCCGAGCCAGAGUCCGAUAUCGCCACGUCUGCCGUGCUGCCGUGCUGUCUGUGUAUUCAACUGGUGGACUGUGUUCUACUUGUGACGUCAGAACACGGCGUCGGAUGUUUCCGGUAGCUGGCAAUGUAAACAUCGGUGGUCGACAUACUAAAUCAUGAUUUAUUAAAUACUGCGAUCAUUGUGUCAUAAAUAACAUAUCAUUUUACAACACAAAUAGCAUUUACUAUCAUCAGUAGAAACACAUGUUUAUCAUUUCGUAGGCCCUUUAAUGCAUCAGUAAUGAUAAUAAUAAUAAUAAUAAUAAUAAUAAUAAUAAUAAUAAUAAUAAUAAUAAUAAUAAUAAUAAUAAUAAUAAUAAUAAUAAUACAAUAAUAAAACUCGGAAAGUGGUUGUUUUAUUUUUGAUACUCCCAACGCUGGUUUGGGCUAUUUGGCAAUUUAUUAUAUUUGUUUAUACAUUUCUGUGGCUACCCCAUUAUGGUGGAAAUGAAUGGGAAGUCUUACGUGAUUCUUAAUUGCAAAUAGGAUAAUAGGGUGAAAUAUAUGUCUGCCUUGUGAAAAUGAUUUAAAUUAUAUUUAACUAGAGGAUAUUUGCGGUUUUACUUUUAUCACUCUGGAUUUUUGUAUUGAUAUUUUUUGUCUUUUUUCCCCUGUCCUUUUGUCACUGGGUCUCAAACUGCUCCUCAUAUCAGUAUGUGAAUCUUUGUACAAUGAGUUGCAUUUCAGGAAGUGAUUUGGUGAUUUAACCAACAAUGGUCUAUGGUCGAGGACACUGAUUCACCUGAUAACCUGUUUUUCUACAUCAGAUACAUAAGACAUGAGCAAGGGGAAGUAUAGACGAUGAUGAGAAUAUGCUGAAAUGAUUUUCCCCGAGAUUACAAAACAGUGUGCAUUUUCUUUUGCAUCAUAUAUACCCUAACAGCUGUAAUCAGCUUCCUCUGUCGAUCGAAUGUAUCAAAGUAAGUUCUGUAUGUUUUAGUAUGGCAUGUCUUCACCCUUGAAACAUAUAUAGACUAUCACAUUGCAGCCUUAGUUGGAUCUCCAAUCACAUUUUUGUUCAUGCAGCUCUACUAGCUGUGACUUUGCAGUUUUCCCAAACUCUGGAACAAUUUACCUGCUGAGAUUAGCUUCAAUCUUUCACUUAUAUCUCCUUUUAAAACGUUCUUGUUUAAACUAUUUUAUCUCUGUGUAAGUGUUAUUUCACUCCUAUAAGUGUGCUAUAUAAAUAAAGUUGAAGAUUUUACCAUGAC
Long non-coding RNA from Cottoperca gobio, 2030 nucleotides. The record is from Ensembl. Lineage: Eukaryota; Metazoa; Chordata; Actinopteri; Perciformes; Bovichtidae.